ACAGGUGGUCAGGUAGAGAAUACUCAGGCGCUUGAGAGAACUCGGGUGAAGGAACUAGGCAAAAUGGUGCCGUAACUUCGGGAGAAGGCACGCUGGCAUUAGGUAAAGGGACUUGCUCCCGGCGCCGAAGCCAGUCGCAGAUACCAGCUGGCUGCAACUGUUUAAUAAAAACACAGCACUGUGCAAACACGAAAGUGGACGUAUACGGUGUGACGCCUGCCCGGUGCUGGAAGGUUAAUUGAUGGGGUCAGCCGCAAGGCGAAGCUCUUGAUCGAAGCCCCAGUAAACGGCGGCCGUAACUAUAACGGUCCUAAGGUAGCGAAAUUCCUUGUCGGGUAAGUUCCGACCUGCACGAAUGGCGUAAUGAUGGCCAGGCUGUCUCCACCCGAGACUCAGUGAAAUUGAACUCGCUGUGAAGAUGCAGUGUACCCGCGGCAAGACGGAAAGACCCCGUGAACCUUUACUAUAGCUUGACACUGAACAUUGAGCCUUGAUGUGUAGGAUAGGUGGGAG
Molecule: ribosomal RNA, 513 nt
Filed under: Yersinia enterocolitica
Lineage: Bacteria; Pseudomonadati; Pseudomonadota; Gammaproteobacteria; Enterobacterales; Yersiniaceae
Description: partial 23S ribosomal RNA
Rfam family: Bacterial large subunit ribosomal RNA
Source: RNAcentral